Molecule: ribosomal RNA, 253 nt
Filed under: uncultured bacterium
Lineage: Bacteria
Description: partial 16S ribosomal RNA
Rfam family: Bacterial small subunit ribosomal RNA
Source: RNAcentral
UACAUGGGGUGCAAACGUUGCUCGGAAUUAUUGGGCGUAAAGCGCGCGUAGGCGGUUACUCAAGUCGGAUGUGAAAGCCCUCGGCUUAACUGAGGAAGUGCACCCGAAACUGAGUAGCUAGAGUACUAAAGAGGGUCGCGGAAUUCCCGGUGUAGAGGUGAAAUUCGUAGAUAUCGGGAGGAACACCGGUGGCGAAGGCGGCGACCUGGGACCGUACUGACGCUGAGACGCGAAAGCGUGGGGAGCGAACAGG